GAGUUUGAUCCUGGCUCAGGCACGAACGCUGGCGGCGCGCCUAACACAUGCAAGUCGAACGACCGAGAGAGAGCUUGCUUUCUCAAGCGACUGGCGAACGGGUGAGUAUCGCGUGAGGAACCUGCCUCAAAGAGGGGGACAACAGUUGGAAACGACUGCUAAUACCGCAUAACCCCACGGCUCGGUCAUCUAGCAGAGGGAAAAGGAGCAAUCCGCUUUGAGAUGGGCUCGCGUCCGAUUACCUAGUUGGUGAGGUAACGGCCCACCACGGCGACAAUCGGUAGCCGGACUGAUAGGUUGAACGGGCACAUCGGGACUGAGACACGGCCCAGACUCCUACGGGAGGCAACGGUGGGGAAUAUAGCACAAUGGGGGAAACCCUGAUGCAACGACGCCGCGUGGAGGAAGAAAGUCUUCGGAUUGUAAACUCCUGUUGUUGAGGAAGAUAAUGACGGUACUCAACAAGGAAGUGACGGCUAGCUACGUGCCAACAACCACCGUAUAACGUAGGUCACAAGCGUUGUCCGGAAUUACUGGGUGUAAAGGGAUCGCAAGCGGUAAAGCAAGUUGGAAGUGAAAUCCAUGGGCUCAACCCAUGAACUGCUUUCAAAACUGUUUCUCUUGAGUAGUGCAGAGGUAUGCGGAAUUCCCGUUCGUACGGUGAAAUGCGUAUAUAUCGUGAGGAACACCAAUGGUCAAAGCUGACUACUGGGCACCAACUGACGCUGAGGCUCGAAAGUGUGGGUAGCAAACAGGAUUAGAUACCCUGGUAGUCCACACUGUAAACGAUGAUUACUAGGUGUUGGAGGAUUGACCCGUUCAGUGCCGCAGUUGACACAAUAAGUAAUCCAGGUGGGGAGUACGACCGCAAGGUUGUCACUCAAAGGAAUUGGCGGGGGCCCGCACAAGCAGUGGAGUAUGUGGUUUAAUUCGAAGCAACGCGAAGAACCUUACCAAGUCUUGACAUCGUGAGACGGUGGUGGAAUCAGUAUUUUCGUUCGGGACGCAGAGACAGGUGGUGCAUGGUUGUGGUCAGCUCGUGUGGUGAGAUGUUGGGUUAAGUCCCGCGACGAGCGCAACCCUUAUGGUCAGUUAGUAUGCAAGAGGACUCUGGCCAGAGUGCCGUUGACUAAAAGGAGGAAGGUGGGGAUGAAGUCAAAUCAUCAUGCCCCUUAUGAUUUGGGGUACACACGUAGUACCAUGGCGUUAUACAAAGAGAAGCAAGACCGCGAGGUGGAGCGGAACUCAGAAACCACGUCCCAGUUCGGAUUGCAGGUUGCAACUGGCUUGCAGGAAGUCGGUAUUGUUAGUAUUGGCAGAUCAGCAUGGUGCGGUGAAUACGUUCCCGGGCCUUGUACACACCGCCCGUC
This 1370-nucleotide ribosomal RNA is filed under the name uncultured bacterium. Its description in RNAcentral is "bacterial SSU rRNA". It matches the Rfam family "Bacterial small subunit ribosomal RNA". The record is from RNAcentral.